Aplysia californica (California sea hare) is the source of this 1154-nucleotide RNA transcript. RefSeq lists it as uncharacterized. Lineage: Eukaryota; Metazoa; Mollusca; Gastropoda; Aplysiida; Aplysiidae. The record is from RefSeq and is a predicted model, not a curated record. The transcript has 5 exons.
CGGUCUUCCGGCAAAAUGGCGUAACCAUUUUUGUUUUUAGGAUUCCAUGAACGUAGAAUGAUGUGAAUUGACUUUUGAAUUUUGCGGCUUGCGGGAUAUGCUGCCGUGGUAGCAUGAGCGAGAAUGGAACGGGCCGUCCCCUGAUAUCCGUCUUGAAGUCGAGGCCAGAAGACGAAGACCCCCAGAAACCCCGUCAGCGAAAAGAGGAGAAGGUCCGAUUCAACGACGAAGUGAGCUACGCACCAAGCGUCGGGGGCUCUGCCGAGAACACCAGAUCGUUCUUUUCGAUACGUGAAAACUCGUCAGAACCCUUCCAGUCGAAACUCCGAAGGGAUAGCUUCGGCAAUGUGAAUGAACAGAUGCAGCUAGAGAACAAACGACGCUGGUGCUGCAGAUGUGGAUGCCUGUGUUUAAACAAAAAAACAAACAACAUCUUGAGAUGAGAGUUCUGGUCAGCUGCAUCAAGAGGACGAAUUUUCUCCCGCAACCGGAAAUUCUUGGUGUGAUUAUGGAACAGCCAGAUGUUGAAGGUGACACUUAAGCUUAAAGACAUGAAUUACAAAACAAAACAAAACAAAACAUAACCUGAAAAGACAAAAAGAAACAAAGAAGAAAAAGAGAUGAGGAUUCUUUUAAACUUCUCAAGUAUAAUCUUUAAUUUGACUUUCAGUAAUUAAACACGUUUUUUUUAACAGGGGAGGAAAAAAAGGUUUUAUUCUUUAAACAAUACUAUACCUACAUUAUGGUUGUUGUUUUUUUGCUUGUUUUUAAUGUUUAGAAUUUGAAUUUCGAUAAAAAUAUUUAUUGAGCACCUGAAACCUACUCUACAAAUUAAGAAACUGCUAUUUAAAAAUUCAAUAUCUAUUUUGGGCUUAGUACAUUAUAACUGCUGGCCAGCGAUUAAAUGUUUGGUGACGAAGCUCUCGCCAAAGUACACGGAAUUUUUUUCACGUUUACAUGGACAUGAUUGUAAAUCAAGUCUGUUUUUUUCCCUCUUUAAAUUAUGUAUGUACAAAAAUUAAUAAAUUAUACCUCUUUUAAUACCAGUUAUAACAAGGUGUCUUUUGCAUGAAUUUCAUGUUGAACUCUUUCUGUUUUGGAAAUAAUUUACAUGUUGUUGAGUUCAAAACUACCGUUCAAAAAGGAUGGUUAGC